UACAGAGGGUGCGAGCGUUAAUCGGAAUUACUGGGCGUAAAGCGAGUGUAGGCGGUUUCGUAAGUCGGAUGUGAAAGCCCCGGGCUCAACCCGGGAAGUGCACUCGAUACUGCGAAGCUAGAGUACUGGAGAGGUUGGUGGAAUUCUCGGUGUAGAGGUGAAAUUCGUAGAUAUCGAGAGGAACACCGGUGGCGAAGGCGGCCAACUGGACAGAUACUGACGCUGAGACUCGAAAGCGUGGGGAGCAAACAGG
RNAcentral lists this ribosomal RNA (253 nucleotides) under uncultured bacterium. Its description in RNAcentral is "partial 16S ribosomal RNA". It matches the Rfam family "Bacterial small subunit ribosomal RNA", at positions 524 to 776 of the family's 1533-position model. The record is from RNAcentral.